AAGAAAAUACCGGUAUUCUGUUCCAAAUUAGGCUUGUAAUUAGAGUUACCAAUGGUAAGGAUUGGCGUGGGUUUAGAGUGGGUAGCCCGCUCGCUAUCUAUGUCUUUCAUUCCCAUGGAUUGGAAAACAUCUUACUCGCCAUGGGGCGAAACUUCUCAUCGUCAGCCUAAGUGAUUGUUUCUGUAAGCUAGAGAGAAGUACCCUUGAUUGGGUGCUUCGAACGCCCUUCGGGAAGUGAAAGUGAAGGUUGAUCAAUAGCUUGAAUCAGGACGAUGCCGCUUAGAAAAGUCUUCUUUCUUCCUUUUCAUUGUGACUCAAAAGCCACAAACAAGGGUUACUAUUCAGGAGUGGAAUUGCAUUCUGUACAAUGGGCAUUUUCAUUUCUCUUUCUGUGCUAUGGCUAUGGUUGACUUCUGUCUCUCGACAUGUAGAGAAGCUGAUCAAAAGGAAAUAGUCUUCCAGAUGGCAAAUAUGUGAACCAUAAACCGUAGAUUUACCACCAAUUGUGACUCAGGGAGAUGAAAGGUAGAGAAUGGCUUAUUCGUAAAAGAAGGCUCCCAGCCAAAUAUAGAAUAGAAAGGAAGGGGCAUCCCCGUGAGAAAACCAGGUGGUGUUACUUUCCUGCUUCCACCUGAACCUGCUUGCAGGCCUUAUAGAAAAGUCUUGUAUAAGAUAACUAGCUUGACAACAGGAAUUCUCUAACUUACUUGUAGAUAACGAACUUGCUGAAGGAGGUUAAGAUAGUUUUCCGUUAAUGGGGAGAGAGAAAAAGAGUCCUCGCUUUCAUAAUCGGUAAUCAGAGUCCAGGCUUCCAAAAGCCAUAUUUUACGACAACCUAUGAACCGACUAACUCAACAGCUGGCCUUAGAGAAACUGUCCUAACUUAUCCAAAUAAAUAGCCAUGAUGAAAUACUCUUCCUUUCCCUGCGGCACUCGCUUGAAGGACUCGAAAGCUGACUAAUGCUGAUAGGAAAACAGAGCUUCCUUCAAACGCUGAUCGAUACCAUCCACCAGAAGAAAACGUGACCGCAACUACUUCCCGAAUCAACACCGUCUGGAGGCUUUGCAUCUGUAUUUGGAGCUGGGCAUGCAUCCAUUGAUUCUAGCACUUGGAGCUUUGAACGCUCGAAAGAGAAAUACAAUCUCCGCCCUACAAGUGGAUCGAUAGGUUCAUACAUCUUGUAGUCGGUGCAGUUCUGGGAAGGAAUGGGCUAGUAUGAGUUCUGGUUUAGUCAGUAGUUCACUUCUCCCUUCUUGUCCGCUCUUGCCCACCCCUUUCACUUUCUUUCCUAAAUGUGUGACUGAUACCAAUCCCUAUGUUGUACACUCUUCCACUAACUAGAGAGAACCAUGCCUGAAGUAGAAAGAACCAAUUACAAGUGUUCAUAGUGGUCUAAUAAAAUAAACCCUGACCGUGAAGGUUCCUAGUGUUGAUACCAGUUGUUGUAGAUAAUGGAAGGAAGCAACAAAACAGAGAGAGGAUCAAGUGUAAUCUUAACUACAUCUCAGCUCUUAUACAAAAGCUUAUGUUACAAUACAUGGUACCAGUCCAAUUUAUAGAAAAUAGCAAACCGACACAAAGUCAUUAUCGACUCAAGUAACAACUAUUUCGAUUUUGUUCACAGCUCAUUCCUAGCUAAGACAUAACGGCGGGUAGGCAAACAACUUGAUUCAGGUCUAGUUUUGUUUGGACUUGGGCUUAGAUGUAGUGGGUUCUUGGGCCACUGCUUUACCUUUAUCAACCUUAGAAGGAGCAUUAGUCUUUGACACAUCAAUCAACCCGGCGUAGGAGCAUGGGAUUUGGACACAUCAGCACCAAACCUGUUGUUGAAGUCGAGUAUGAGCUUCUAUUCUAUCCAAUCGAAAGAAGAAGCAAAGGCUUUUCUCCUUAUCUUUGCAUUUAAGUUCUCGAAAGGAGAAUCGGAGGCUUUACACCUAUCUUUUCUACUUGCUUUUCGUUUUCUAAAAACAAGAGAUCUAGGAAAUGAAAGGAAUUCAUUAUCGAUAAGCUGUGGGUAGAACAGCACAACGAUAGAAACAUGAGGAAAAUCGUCUUCAUCAAGAAGAUAUUUAGCAAUUUUUUCUAUUUUCUAGGCGGAAGAGAUAAAAUAAAUAUUGUUACUGGGCUAGGAUGUUCAUUUGGGAAGGAUCUCGGAUGAAGCUCCAGAGUUCUUGACCAGUGGAGUCAAGUGGAGAAGGCGUUACUUGAUAGGAAAGCAAAUUUUUUU
Molecule: long non-coding RNA, 2228 nt
Filed under: Hordeum vulgare
Lineage: Eukaryota; Viridiplantae; Streptophyta; Magnoliopsida; Poales; Poaceae
Description: long non-coding RNA (HVUL_LNC006223)
Source: RNAcentral